CGCGGCCUAUCAGCUUGUUGGUGGGGUAAUGGCCUACCAAGGCGACGACGGGUAGCCGGCCUGAGAGGGCGACCGGCCACACUGGGACUGAGACACGGCCCAGACUCCUACGGGAGGCAGCAGUGGGGAAUAUUGCACAAUGGGCGGAAGCCUGAUGCAGCGACGCCGCGUGAGGGAUGACGGCCUUCGGGUUGUAAACCUCUUUCACCCAUGACGAAGCGCAAGUGACGGUAGUGGGAGAAGAAGCGCCGGCCAACUACGUGCCAGCAGCCGCGGUAAGACGUAGGGCGCGAGCGUUGUCCGGAAUUAUUGGGCGUAAAGAGCUCGUAGGCGGCUUGUCGCGUCGGCUGUGAAAUCCCGUGGCUCAACUGCGGGUCUGCAGCCGAUACGGGCAGGCUAGAGUUCGGUAGGGGAGACUGGAAUUCCUGGUGUAGCGGUGAAAUGCGCAGAUAUCAGGAGGAACACCGAUGGCGAAGGCAGGUCUCUGGGCCGAUACUGACGCUGAGGAGCGAAGGCGUGGGGAGCGAACAGGAUUAGAUACCCUGGUAGUCCACGCUGUAAACGUUGGGCGCUAGGUGUGGGGGACCUCUCCGGUUCUCUGUGCCGCAGCUAACGCAUUAAGCGCCCCGCCUGGGGAGUACGGC
RNAcentral lists this ribosomal RNA (644 nucleotides) under uncultured bacterium. Its description in RNAcentral is "bacterial SSU rRNA". It matches the Rfam family "Bacterial small subunit ribosomal RNA", at positions 232 to 886 of the family's 1533-position model. The record is from RNAcentral.